Molecule: ribosomal RNA, 207 nt
Filed under: uncultured bacterium
Lineage: Bacteria
Description: partial 16S ribosomal RNA
Rfam family: Bacterial small subunit ribosomal RNA
Source: RNAcentral
CGCGUAGGCGGUUUGUUAAGUCAGCUGUGAAAGCCCCGGGCUCAACCUGGGAACUGCAGUUGAUACUGGCCGACUAGAGUACGAGAGAGGGAGGUAGAAUUCCACGUGUAGCGGUGAAAUGCGUAGAUAUGUGGAGGAAUACCAGUGGCGAAGGCGGCCUCCUGGCUCGAUACUGACGCUGAGGUGCGAAAGCGUGGGGAGCAAACA